Non-coding RNA from Rhopilema esculentum, 4420 nucleotides. Lineage: Eukaryota; Metazoa; Cnidaria; Scyphozoa; Rhizostomeae; Rhizostomatidae. The record is from RefSeq and is a predicted model, not a curated record.
AAGAAACCUAUAAAGAAAAUGAAAAGUUUAAUUAAAGGAAACAGAGAAAGAGGCUAAAGAAAGACUUGCCACAUCACCAUAGAGAAGUCUGAAGCUUCUUUAAGGAGGAUGUAGUAGAGAAUAUUGUAAGCGACAAUCAAGAACAACUAGGUUCUACAAUUUUUUGUAACAUCAGUUGACAGAGAUACAGCAAGAGACAAUUGAACAGAUUUUGUUGAAAAAAAUACAAAAUUUUUUGUUGGAAGGCAGCGACUGAACAAACAUGACUUUAAAAAGAUAUCAGAGAAUGGCAUGCUUAAUAACUCAAUAAUCAAUGUAUUCCAAAUUCUGAUGCUGAAGGAACACCCUGAGUCAAAUGAUUUACAAGACCCUUUUCUUGGGCAAAACAUGUUUUUUACUGUACACCACGACAAACCUUUUGUUCAAAUCCUCUAUGAUGGAAAACUACAUUGGAUUGCUGUUUCAACAUAUGUAUGUGGGCCUGGGAAGGUCUUCUACUUUGACCGUUUGUGUUCUCUGGUAGAAUAUCUGAAAAAGUUAAUCAACUAUUAGGUGCAGUCAUGCAUUCUUCAAGGUCAAUUUUGAAAAUAAAUGUUGUCCCAGUUCAACAGCAAUCAAAUAGAGUGGGCUGUGAUGCAAAUGCCAUUGCCUUUACAAAUUAUGUUCUAAAGGAAAAGAGAAAUCCCACUGAGGUGACAUUUGACCAAGAGACAAUGAAGGUCCUUAGCAGCAAAAACAAAGCUUUCCUUUCCGACAACAACAAGAACUGUAAGAAGAUGCUGCACAAAAACGAUUUCAUUUGACGUAUAUUGUUCUUGUAUAAUGCGCUGGGUACCAUUCCACAACAACAUUUUUGAAAGGUAAAUUAAUUACACAUUUACUCGCAAUCAUUCAAUUUUAUAAACUUUUCAAUUUCCUCUCUAAGAUAUUAAAAUGUCUUAUUUUAGAUGUGUAUUUGAAUUCGUGAAUGCAAAAAUAAAAUUAUGUUGAACUUGCUUUAUUUCAACAAAGAUAUUCUGUUGCCUUUAGAGAAAUAUUAAGCAGUUCCAUAAAAAUUGCUAAAAAUAUUUUUUAAAAAUUGUUUUGCAUUUUACACACAUUUGAAAGGUAAUUAAGGAAUCUAACUUUUCACCAAAAGUUCAGCUUUUCAAAAACUUCAAAAACUUCAGAAACAGAGGCUUAUGAAGUUCUUCUAUUUUACUGUGGAAGGAAAUUGCUUCGAAAUUGGGUUGGAGAUGAAAAUUCGGCCAUAGUAAGUAUUCUUCAUUUCAAAAAGAUAUUCUUUUACCUUAACUCUUAUCCAUCGUGUUUGAUUGAGUGUUGUUGAUAUCAAAGUCAAAUGAAUUAAAUCCUAUUUUUCUUAUUUGAAAUUAUACAAUUUGAAAAGCUAACCUUAAAUCAUAUUUCUUCCAGAUUUUAGCAUAUUUGGUUGGCGGCCAAGAGUUAAUAACUCCUGUACGUGCAUGGGAAAUUCUUGUAAGCUGCGUAUGUUUUUUAAGAUAAAAUAAAACGAUAUAUUAGCUUGAAAUUAAUAUUUAUGGGGAAAAUACAGAACAAAAAUCUAUAUGUUAACAAUGUAAAGAAGAAAAAGGAGCUCUUGUGUGCAUUUGUAAUUGACAAUUUUUAUCAAUAUUUUUUACAUCAAUAGUGGUUACCCUUGAUUGGCCUACCUAGUGCUUUUUCCCGCCAGCCUCAAAGAAAAUAAUUAUUGUUAUUAUUAUUAUUGAUCAAAUAAGGAUUUGUAACGUUUUUUGUUAGUAUGAUGACCAGGUCUUUUUCUGUUAACUGCUUAUUUUCUUAAAUAAGAUGGAGUUAUCUGAAAUACAGCUUUCUACCGUUUUAGGAAAAAACAUCGCAUUUGCAUCAAGAUCCUUAAGUGGAACUUCUAUAAAUCUAUCAGGUAAUGUGUUUCUAAAAUAUUGUUUGUCUUGGUAUAGAAAAUUCAAUUUGAGCAUUAUGAGCACUGGAUUUAAGAGAAAUCAGGCUCAACUAGUUUUUAUAUUCAAAAGAUAGGAACGAGGCUGUAGAUGUGUUCAACAGCAAAUGCUUGCAAAAAAACACGAAAUCUAACUAAUACUAAUAUGCCAAUAUGCAAAUGAGCCUGAACAAAAGACCUCCACACUGCCCCGCGAUUGUACCACCGCCCGGCGUUGCACACGGUGCCCAGCCAAAACUGCUUGGCCGAUUUUCAAAAUUCUUUUUUUCCCUUCAUCAACGAAUCUUUGGUUCACCAUACUACGGUCUCCUUUUUCUCCUUUUCGCUUCCGUUCCUGAGAUAUUUACGUUUUUCUCCCGGGUUCGUCUCGAUCCCCAACGCCCCGCGAUUGUACGGGUUUGCAGCCAAAACCGCUCGGCCGAUUUUCAAAGUUCUUUUUUCUUCUGAAUCCUCCAUCCCGAUGCACCAUCAUCAGGUCUGCUUUUUCUCAUCGUUCUUUUCGUUUCUCAGAUAUUUACACGGUUUUCUCUGAGGAUGCAAGAUCUCGAUUAGUGCUCUCCGUGGUCUUUGUCCCGCGUUUCUAAAGGUUCUUUCUCUCUUUUCUGUUGCUCUCUACUACAAAAGAUUUCAAAUCUUCUUCCUCCAGCAACCCUUCAAUUUGAACGGAGGCUUUUCAAAUCUGUUUCGUUUUUAAGACAAAGAAUCUACUGUCUGCCGAUAAUUUCGGUGAUUUGGAUAAAUCUACGUGCACUGCUGCUUGGCAUUCCUUUUCGAACUCGAAGCGGUUGUCGACGGUUGCGUUCUGUGCUACGGUGCUACAGUGCUACCAUGCUACAGCUACAGCUACAGUAGCUACGUACGGUACGCACACUGCUGCCCGUUUUUUGGUUUUGCGAUGGCUGCUGGCUGUUCUUCUUCUUCACUAGCAUCAGAAUCGAUGGCAUGCGAAUACAAAUCAAAGAUCGUUUCAAGCAAUAAUUAUGACGCAGACAUGAUUCUCGGACCUUCGAAACGAAAUUGAUGGCAUUUAUGCUGGCGUUAAUUCAAACGAUGAAACAAGAAAAGACUUUACUGUGAAGAAACGGACUAAAGUUAUAUAGAUCAGCUGUUGUCCGUAAAUUGUAUUUUGUUAAUUUGUUGUUAGAGUAAGAUUCCUUUCUGAUGCACGAAACUUUGGCUGUUUUUUAUCUUUCUAUUUCUUAACUGCUUUGUUGCUGCAGUGUUGCAAAAGCUAAUUGUGACGAAGAUGUGAUAUGUGGACCUCAAAUGUAUAGAACUGCGUAAUAAUUCUGUACCUCUUUAGAAGAGGAGUCACUAAUUUUUUUAUGAAUCAACAUAAUUUUUUUAGGAAUUUUGAUUGUUAAGAAAGUUUUAGAUGAUAUAUAUUUAAACGAGCACCAUGGACCAAUAACUGCUAACAGGAAUUUAUUGUUGGAAAAACUUUAAUGUUUGAUUCAAAAUAAACAGAGGAACUUUAAAGGUGGCCCGAAGUUAUAUCUUAAAACAACAUCACAAGUGAACAAGAAUUGAACAAAAUGUUAUGAUAAAAAUAUUCAUGUUGGAUUCAAAAUGAACAUUAGAGCUUUAAGAAUGGCCUUAGAAAAAAAUUAUAAGCGCCCUAUAAGUCGAUGAGGGCCAAGAGUGUAUGAUUGGAAAACUUAAAAAUUUGAUUCUGACUAAAUAGGAGAAAUUAUAGGAUAAACCCAUGAAAAUUUUGUCCUUCAAGGAAAAUUGAUUUGCUGUAUUCGUCGCUUAACAAGACCAUAUUCAAAUGGUUUUAUGCUUAAUUUGAUGAAAUUACACUAAAAACCGGAGAAUGUUUACCUAAAGUUGUUUUGGAUUUGUUUACAUCGGGGGGCAAUUCGCUCUUGCAAGUAACGUGCGAGAUUUUGCCUAAAACAAAAGGAUUUCUUGGGAUUAUCAGAUAAACCAAUAGGAUUUUCACAAAAGGGGUAAUGAUGGACCGACUGAAAGUUGCUAACACUUAGGGGGUUAAAUCAGCAAAUUACCUGCUUUAAAUACCAGAUAAUGUAUAUUUCGAGAUGAAAAAUGGAUUGAUAGGUACAAGGGGCCAACUGAAAUUUGCUGACAGAAAGUUAUAAGCCAAUUUGGAAUAAAGAACGCACUUAAAGGGUAAAUCUGCCAUUACCAGCCUUAAAGGAAGGUAAAGCCAGAUAAUGUUUAUUGCGAAAUGAAAAAUGAAUUGAUAGGUACAAGGGGCCAACUGAAAUUUGCUGACAGAAAGUUAUAAGCCAAUUUUGAAUAAAGAACGCACUUAGGGGGUAAAUCUGCCCAUUACCAGAAUGUAUAUUGCGUCCUUGAUCUUGCAUGAUCGCCAUGAAAGCUAUGAUACUGCUAAUGGUAAUUGGAUUGAUUCUGCUAAGAAUUUCCCAAGUAUUGAUAGUCAACAGGUAAUCAAUUUCGGGUUUACUUUUCUAGAAGGAUUUACAAAAUUACAGUGAAGGUAAUAAAACAUUAUCUUCC